UCUUCUUGAGAUAAUAAAGUAUUCUCCAAGUUAUUCAAGUAAGUCUUCCACUUUCUUAGUUCUAGUAUUUUUGGAGCUAUAUUUUCUUCUUCGUUCUUCUUCAAUUGUGGUUGUGAGUCUUGGGCUAGUGAAGCAUAAUUCACUACUCUAAGGAAGCAAUUUCCGAAAUUUGGGAAGUUGUUUUUCUUCACACAACUAUGAGACAUAAUUGAACAACCAUAUUGCUUCCAAGAUUUCUUAUGUUCAUCUAACAUCUUGUUAUUAUUAGUAACUUCUUCUUUUAGUAU
This 287-nucleotide long non-coding RNA is filed under the name Nicotiana benthamiana. RNAcentral's name for it is "long non-coding RNA (NBEN_LNC013554)". The record is from RNAcentral. Lineage: Eukaryota; Viridiplantae; Streptophyta; Magnoliopsida; Solanales; Solanaceae.